AGGGAAUCUUCCACAAUGGACGCAAGUCUGAUGGAGCAACGCCGCGUGAGUGAAGAAGGCUUUCGGGUCGUAAAACUCUGUUAUUGAAGAAGAACGUGUGUGACAGUAACUGGUCAUGCAGUGACGGUAUUCAAUCAGAAAGUCACGGCUAACUACGUGCCAGCAGCCGCGGUAAUACGUAGGUGGCAAGCGUUGUCCGGAUUUAUUGGGCGUAAAGCGAGUGCAGGCGGUCUUUUAAGUCUGAUGUGAAAGCCUUCGGCUUAACCGAAGAAGGGCAUCGGAAACUGGGAGACUUGAGUGCAGAAGAGGAGAGUGGAACUCCGUGUGUAGCGGUGAAAUGCGUAGAUAUAUGGAAGAACACCAGUGGCGAAGGCGGCUCUCUGGUCUGUAACUGACGCUGAGGCUCGAAAGCGUGGGUAGCAAACAGGAUUAGAUACC
This 438-nucleotide ribosomal RNA is filed under the name uncultured bacterium. RNAcentral's name for it is "partial 16S ribosomal RNA". It matches the Rfam family "Bacterial small subunit ribosomal RNA", at positions 356 to 786 of the family's 1533-position model. The record is from RNAcentral.